RNAcentral lists this ribosomal RNA (416 nucleotides) under uncultured bacterium. RNAcentral describes it as "bacterial SSU rRNA". It matches the Rfam family "Bacterial small subunit ribosomal RNA", at positions 355 to 787 of the family's 1533-position model. The record is from RNAcentral.
UCGGGAAUAUUGCGCAAUGGAGGAAACUCUGACGCAGUGACGCCGCGUGCAGGAAGAAGGUUUUCGGAUUGUAAACUGCUUUAGACAGGGAAGAAACAAGACAGUACCUGUAGAAUAAGCUCCGGCUAACCACGUGCCAGCAGCCGCGGUAAUACGUAGGGAGCAAGCGUUAUCCGGAUUUAUUGGGUGUAAAGGGUGCGUAGACGGGAAUGCAAGUUGGUUGUGAAAUCCCUCGGCUCAACCGAGGAAUUGCAACCAAAACUAUAUUUCUUGAGUGCUGGAGAGGAAAGUGGAAUUCCUAGUGUAGCGGUGAAAUGCGUAGAUAUUAGGAGGAACACCAGUGGCGAAGGCGACUUUCUGGACAGUAACUGACGUUGAGGCACGAAAGUGUGGGGAGCAAACAGGAUUAGAUACCC